This is a non-coding RNA of Triticum aestivum (bread wheat), 134 nucleotides long. NCBI's taxonomy places the organism in Eukaryota, Viridiplantae, Streptophyta, Magnoliopsida, Poales, Poaceae. The record is from Rfam.
CAAGUACUCCCUCUGUCUGAAAAUACUUGUCAUCAAAAUGGAUAAAAAAGAUGUAUCUAGAACUAAUAUACAUCUAGAUACAUCCCCUUUUAUUCAUUUUGAUGACAAGUAUUUCCGGAUGGAGGGAGUACUAC